GGUUUUGAUCCUGGCUCAGAUUGAACGCUGGCGGGAUGUACUACACAGCCAAAGUCGAACGGCAGCACGGACUUCGGUCUGGUGGCGAGAGUGGCGAACGGGUGAGUAAUGUAUCGGAACGUGCCGUGGCGGGAUAACUACGCGAAAGCGUAGCUAUUACCGCACCGCGCUUCGGGGAAAGCGGGGACGGGCCUCGCACUAUUAGAGCAGCCGAUAUCGGAUUAGCUAGUUGGUGGGAUAACGGCUCGCAGGGGCGACGAUCCGUAGCUGGUUUGAGAGGGCGUACAGCCACGCAGGACUGAGACACGGCCCAGACUCCUACAGGAGGCAGCGGUGGAGGGUACCUGGACAAUGGGAAACCCUGAUCCAGCCAUCCCGCGUGCGAUGAAGCCUUCGGGUUGUAAAGCACUUUUGGCAGGAAAGAAACGGCGGGAUAAUACCCCGAUGCAACUGACGGUACCUGCAGAAUAAGCACCAGCUAACUACGUGCCAGCAGCCGCGGUAAUACGUAGGGUGCAAAGCGUUAAUCGGAAUUACUGGGCGUAAAGCGUGCGCAGGCGGUUCGGAAAGAAAAGAUGUGAAAUCCCAGAGCUUAACUUUGGAACUGCAUUUUUAACUACCGAGCUAGAGUGUGUCGAAGUGGAAUUCCGCGUGUAGCAGUGAAGUAAACGAAUAUGGAGGAACACCGAUGGCGAAGGCAGCCUCCUGGGAUAACACUGACGCUCAUGCACGAAAGCGUGAGGCAAACAGGAUUAGAUGCCCUGGUAGUCCACAGCCCUAAGAUAUCGCUAGCUGUUGGGGCCUUCGGGCCUUGGUAGCGCAGCUAACGUGAAGUUGACCGCCUGGGGGAGUACGGUCGCAAGAUUAAAACUCAAAGGAAUUGUUGGGGACCCGCACAAGUGCGGUGGAUGAUGUGGAUUAAUUCGAUGCAACGCGAAACCUUACUACCCUUGACAUGUCUGGAAUCCCGAAGAGAUUUGGGAGUGCUCGCAAAGAGAACCGGAACACAGGUGCUGCAUGGCUGUCGUCAGCUCGUGUUGUGAGAUGUUGGGUUAAGUCCCGCAACAGGCGCAACCCUUGUCAUUGGUUACUACGAAAGACAUAAGCCAGGACUACCGGUAAUAAAACCGGAGGAAGGUAUGGGGAUAAGCGUAAGUCCUCAUGGCCCAUAUGGGUAGGGCUUCACACACGUCAUAAUGGUCCGGGACAGAGGGUCGCCAACCCGCGAAGAGGCCAAUCCCAGAAACCCGAUCGUAGUCGGAUCGCAGUCUGCAACUCGACUGCGUGAAGUCGGAAUCGCUAGUAAUCGCGGAUCAGCAUGUCGCGGUAGACCGUUUGCGGGUCUUGCAUACACACCGCCCGUCACACCAUGGGAGUGGGUUUUACCGUGGAUUAGCCUACUGCCAUGGGGGCGAUUACCACAGUAGGAUUCAUGACUGGGUGAAGUCGUAACAAGGUAG
This 1460-nucleotide ribosomal RNA is filed under the name uncultured Bordetella sp. RNAcentral describes it as "partial 16S-23S ribosomal RNA intergenic spacer". It matches the Rfam family "Bacterial small subunit ribosomal RNA". The record is from RNAcentral. Lineage: Bacteria; Pseudomonadati; Pseudomonadota; Betaproteobacteria; Burkholderiales; Alcaligenaceae.